CAAAACAGGCUGUGAACUGUCCACACCAGGAAGGUCUCCAGUUCUAGUUACAAUAUAUGCCUCGGCUUCCCUCCCUCAGCCAGGCGAACAAAACCCCAGCCCCUCUAGGGACUUGAAGGAAGAGUGUGCAGGGUUAACCCUGUCCUGCCUCCUCUCCUUCACAGUGGAGAUGAACUCAUUGGGUGAAGGGCAUCACUCACUGGUGAUGGUUAGGUGGAGAAAUCCACCUAUUCACAUGGGUCAUGGGUCAGAGACCCAUAUCAGAAUCAGUGGUGAAGUCCAUAGCCAGGACCUUUUGAAUUUUUAGGACACAAGGCUGUAAUCUAAACUUGGUGCCUAGGACACCUGCUUUUUGCCCCGUACUUCCUUUUAUCCAAUUGCCCUCUCUGUCUUGCUUUCUUAUCUCUUGCUCAGAUGCUAGUUAACCUUGUAAGAUGGAAAGGAGAAAUCUGCCUGAGUGAAAAAUAACGCAGUCUGAAGUGUGUGGCUCUCCUCAGGAAACUCUUAUUGUGGAGGUUGGCACACUCUUUUCACUUCCACAUUCAGGAGCUAAAUAGCACACAUCCCUGUCUGUCCCCAGUCUUUGUUCAACCCUAACCAGGAAGGGAAAAUCAGUAUUUGUGAAUCCACAACCAAAUGAAGGUGUGCAAGGUCCUGUGAAGCAGUAGGUAGUUUGAAGGAACUAGAUGCAGUAGUGAAAGUUUUCCUGGGGGGAGGUGCUGGAAGUCUGUUCUUUCCUAAUCCAAGCACCCCUGCGGCUCUUGUUUUGUGUUGUACAGGAGGAGGCGGGAGAGGCUGCUCUAAGGGAGGACAUGGUGAGAAUUAUAAUGAGUCUGAGCUCACUCAGACUUGAAUUUGAGAUGAUUGCAAUGAUGACACCAGGAAAACAUGGGCUCAUUGUUCAGACCUUAUGGCCUCAGAGUUGGCUGAGUGUCUUAGAGGAGUGGGCCUGUGACCAUCACAACACAACAGACAAGAGACUUUCUAUUACAAGCAAUCCCACUGGCAGAAGAAUAAAAUGCUAAGUGCUGUUUUACUGUUCAUUAGUAAUAUGUCAUGAGUGAUUUAGAAGCUGUUCUGAUGCAACUGAAAGAAACCCACAGCAGAACUGAUGAGUAAGUAGAUCUUAUACCUACUUAAAUCCAGUGAACAGGACCUGAAAAAUGCAUUUAUAGUAGAUAGAGAUCACCUGUAACUUGUUAUGUUCCCUUUCUUGGGUGUACUGAAGGGAUAAGACAUGGUUAGAUGGAAGUCUAUGGCAGUCCUUGUGUCAUCACUUUGCAAUACGCACAUUUGUGCAUCUAACUAUUCAGUUUCUGGUUAACUAUAUGGUUGUUUGAAAUCUGGUAUUUCUGACUGUGAAGAUUAUUCUUUAUUUGGUUUAUUGCCUGAAGACUGCUCAUAUUUACACUCAGACCAAGAAAGCCAGAGAAUAAUCCAAGUGAAGUGCAUUCCGUUCUUUAAGUUCUAUUGACCCAUCCUUCUGUAGUAUGAAUUUGGAUAGGAUCCAAUGCAGGAUCCUUUUAUAGUUCUUUAUUGUCUAGGAAGCCUUCUGUCUAGGAAGACCUUUAAAAACCUUCUCUAUAGGAUGACCUGAAGACCUUUCUUCAGAAGGAUUUUGGAAGCUUUAGUGUAGGUAGGAAUCACAAAGGUAACUAAUUAUCAGGACUACUACAAACUGUGCAAGGAAAACCAACCUACUAUUGUCUUCUACUUCAUGCAGUUUCUUAGAAAGUGUUAAGUCUUAGCAUGCAGUGCUGUGUCUUGAUUUCAGGAAUGAACCCAUAGAAUUGUACAUUUACUUCUUAUUGGCAGAAAUGGUUUCAAUGAAAUCAGUGAGACUACUUGAGGCUAUUACACCACAGUAAUAGCCUUUGCCAGGAUAGGAUUUAUUCAGGUCUGAGCUGUUUGAGUUACCACGGCUUGUCUGCAAGUUCCUUUGGCCAGUGACACUAAACAGAAUACUCUAUGGAUCCUGCCUCUCAUAUCCUAACACAAUUCAUAUUUCCAGCCUCACUGUAAGCAUCCACCCCUGAAAUGCCUGAACUGGAGAUGGGGUAUCUGGUUUGAAGUUUGUCAUCAUCUUCUUCAUCCUCAGUUCUUUCCUGGUAACCAUUUUUCAUUAGCCAGACUCGAGCUUUCAGGCACCUGUUAUAUCAAUCCCUUUGUAUUGCCAGCAAGAACUCAAGUGGAAUAGCUACCUCACGUUUUUAUUCUAUCUGAAAAAGUGCACUACACACACAUUUUUAUUAUAAUAAUAUAAUGUAGCAUUUUGUGCAGGAAAAGUUCUGCCAUGUAGAAAAGCAUUAACUCAAGCUGCAUAGUACUGAGUCUCUGUCUGAACCCACUUACAUCUGUUUCACAUUAGUUUAAUUUGACUUCAGUACAAUUACUCCUGAAUCACAGUCAUGGGAGAAUUACAAUCUGGCCUUUAGUUUUUCCAUGAUGUCUCCAAAGAAUCUUCAUAAGAUCAAAGUCUGAUAUGUGACAAAAAUAGAAAGCUUGAUUAAUAAAAACAAGCCACCAAAUUCA
Long non-coding RNA from Anser brachyrhynchus (Pink-footed goose), 2532 nucleotides. NCBI's taxonomy places the organism in Eukaryota, Metazoa, Chordata, Aves, Anseriformes, Anatidae. The record is from Ensembl.